GCACAAAAUGAUUAGUGGCGAACGGGUGAGUAACACGUGAGUAACCUGCCCUUAACUUCGGGAUAAGCCUGGGAAACCGGGUCUAAUACCGGAUACGACGGACCACCGCAUGGCGGUCCGUGGAAAGCUUGAUGCGGUUUUGGAUGGACUCGCGGCCUAUCAGCUAGUUGGUUGGGGUAAUGGCCCACCAAGGCGACGACGGGUAGCCGGCCUGAGAGGGUGACCGGCCACACUGGGACUGAGACACGGCCCAGACUCCUACGGGAGGCAGCAGUGGGGAAUAUUGCACAAUGGGCGAAAGCCUGAUGCAGCGACGCCGCGUGAGGGACGAAGGCCUUCGGGUUGUAAACCUCUUUCAGCAGGGAAGAAGCGAAAGUGACGGUACCUGCAGAAGAAGCGCCGGCUAACUACGUGCCAGCAGCCGCGGUAAUACGUAGGGCGCAAGCGUUAUCCGGAAUUAUUGGGCGUAAAGAGCUCGUAGGCGGUUUGUCGCGUCUGCUGUGAAAGCCCGGGGCUCAACCCCGGGUCUGCAGUGGGUACGGGCAGACUAGAGUGCAGUAGGGGAGACUGGAAUUCCUGGUGUAGCGGUGAAAUGCGCAGAUAUCAGGAGGAACACCGAUGGCGAAGGCAGGUCUCUGGGCUGUAACUGACGCUGAGGAGCGAAAGCAUGGGGAGCGAACAGGAUUAGAUACCCUGGUAGUCCAUGCCGUAAACGUUGGGCACUAGGUGUGGGGGACAUUCCACGUUUUCCGCGCCGUAGCUAACGCAUUAAGUGCCCCGCCUGGGGAGUACGGCCGCAAGGCU
This 804-nucleotide ribosomal RNA is filed under the name Arthrobacter citreus. RNAcentral's name for it is "bacterial SSU rRNA". It matches the Rfam family "Bacterial small subunit ribosomal RNA", at positions 80 to 895 of the family's 1533-position model. The record is from RNAcentral. Lineage: Bacteria; Bacillati; Actinomycetota; Actinomycetes; Micrococcales; Micrococcaceae.